UACGUAGGUGGCAAGCGUUGUCCGGAAUUAUUGGGCGUAAAGCGCGCGCAGGCGGCUUCUUAAAUCCAUCUUAAAAGUGCGGGGCUUAACCCCGUGAUGGGAUGGAAACUGGGAGGCUGGAGUAUCGGAGAGGAAAGUGGAAUUCCUAGUGUAGCGGUGAAAUGCGUAGAGAUUAGGAAGAACACCGGUGGCGAAGGCGACUUUCUGGACGACAACUGACGCUGAGGCGCGAAAGCGUGGGGAGCAAACAGG
Molecule: ribosomal RNA, 252 nt
Filed under: Dialister succinatiphilus YIT 11850
Lineage: Bacteria; Bacillati; Bacillota; Negativicutes; Veillonellales; Veillonellaceae
Description: partial 16S ribosomal RNA
Rfam family: Bacterial small subunit ribosomal RNA
Source: RNAcentral